Long non-coding RNA from Rhododendron vialii, 351 nucleotides. RefSeq lists it as uncharacterized. The record is from RefSeq and is a predicted model, not a curated record. The transcript has 3 exons. Lineage: Eukaryota; Viridiplantae; Streptophyta; Magnoliopsida; Ericales; Ericaceae.
CCAUUUCUAGCUCCCACCAUCUCCACCUCCAUAGCCACCACCGCAAUGCCGCCACUCCUGCCGCCGCACCACCGCCUCAGGUUAUUAUGCGUCCACCACGUGGAGUUCGAGGCCGAGGUCGGGCCCGGGGGCCGGGGUGUCCUUCAGGACGAGUCUGAGGCUGCUGAGGCGGUAUCCGACCUGAGAACACAAGACUUGACAUACCUGCCCGAGUUUAUACUCAAUAAAAAAACCACUCCGCUUAGCUCGGAUCUGUCCCACAUAUAGUGGAAAGGGCAUGUACGAAUAGUGUGAAACAUUGUGUACAAAAAACUAUUUUAGUUUGCGUACAAAAAACUAAAAAAACCACUC